Seriola aureovittata is the source of this 1905-nucleotide long non-coding RNA. RefSeq lists it as uncharacterized. The transcript is spliced from 3 exons. Lineage: Eukaryota; Metazoa; Chordata; Actinopteri; Carangiformes; Carangidae. The record is from RefSeq and is a predicted model, not a curated record.
GGAGCUUCACCCUCUGAGCAGCGCUGCUUAUUUAGGGCAGACCGGACAGUGGAUGCUCCAGUGACACACAAGGUAGCUGGUUAGCAUGCUAACUUCUAAAGGAAGAAAAGUGAUCGAAAUAAAAGCAAAAUGAGAGUUAACAUUGGUGUUGCUUUCCAUCUCUGGAGACAGCUCUUGAUGGGUAAAGCAAUGAAGUUUGAUGCUGAACUCGCAGUGUUUCCUCUAGACUGAAAUUCUGGAUCAGGCCUCAGGCACCACCCACCACCGCUGCUUGCAAGGUUGGCCGAUGAAAGUGUGUAUCAAGAUGGUUAGCAUUAGAGAAAACAUCGGAGAGACUCAGCCACAUGUUUGAGCCUCAGUCAGACUCAGACUCGGAUGAGGAGAAAAUUGGUGAUUAGCAGGCAGAACAUCAUCAGAACAAUAUCAAGGGUACAGACUGGGCUGUUUAGGAGAGCUGGAGCGUCCACAGGGUCAGGCUGAUUGAUAGCUUCGACACCCAAAGGUCAGCACUGCUAGGGUUCCCCUGCCUGUGACGCAGCCCGAAGGCCUCGGCAUCCACCACUGUUUGAAUUUUCACCUCUUUCCUGGAGACAUUUAGCAUUUUUUCUUCUUGAGGACAUUUUUCAGGACAUAGUGUUGCUGUCUGCUCUCCUUGGAGGCCGGCUCGCCCACCUCAGCUGUUGCCGGUAUUGAUGACAGAGUGAAUAAGAAGUGAGAGAAUUAAAGGCAGAUGAAGGAUAAGGAGUUUAUCUGGAUUAAGAUGAAUGAGUGGCCGGGCCUAGCAGCAUUGUCUGCUCUCUAAGCUUUUGUUUCUGGUACAGAACUUAAAACGAAGAUAUUUCAUGAGCAAUGCCCACUGCCAUUACCAAAGUCAUCCCUAAAGAGCAAGUUUGCGGAACAAAAUUUGUAAUCGAUGUUUUCAAGUGGCUUAUAAAGGCUUACUUUUUCUUUUAAAGAAGCAAUUAGCGUCUAGGUUAUUGAUCGAUCAGUAGCCUCGGCAUGCGUAGCGUAAGGUAGAUGCCCAUGGGGUGGCAGGAGCCUCUCCAGAGGAGCCCCAUUCUUUGUUUGUCCGAGCACUUCUGUGGGCAGCUCGACAGCUCAUUUGCUCCCUAAUAGAGAUGAACUGGUGGGGACAGUCGGAGGGAAGGGUAGAUGCUGCUUCCUCCAGGCGGGAGGGGAGCGCAAGGAGGAGGGAUAGGGCUGCAGGUUUCCUACCAUCCCUGCUGUAAUUAAUUACAUUGAUCACAACAUGUCACAGCACCUUACAGUACUGUAUAAAACUGCUGCCUUGGUAGAGUAACCAUGUCUGCCUUCAAAUGAAGACAUAUUCACUGGCAGGAAUGAAGGAAACUGUCCAAACUCUUCCAUCGCUACUUAUGUCAAAUAUCUGUGUGGUUAAAUGUCAUGGUUCUGUGUAAACAUGUAUCAAGCAGCUGUGGAUAAAAAGAACACAUUAAUAUUAUGUAGUGCCAUUGGUACUAAUUAUUUUCAACAGAAAUGUGAUGAGCUUUCACACACCAAUGUCAUAGCUGAUUAUAGAAGCAGGCCUGAAGGAGGUCUGUGUGGAUCAGGAUAAAAGCUGAUAGAUGAUAGCAACCUGUCACAAGGGGGCUCUUUUUUCGUGCUCUCAUUACCAUUUAGCUCAGGCUGAUACCUCAUUGUAUAAUCUGACUGUAAGGGAGCAAAAAGCAGAGGAUUGCCUGGAUUGUGUAUAAAUGGGAACUGUAAUUAGACCACGACUGCAUCCCUUCAUCUCAGACGGGUAAACAUCCAGCCACACAGAGGGAUGAACAAAUGAAGGUAUUGUUGGAAGACACUGUCUGCUACAAUGAAAGUGCUACUGCUUGUAUCACACAUUCAGUAUUAAAAGAGGCUGCUCUAAUAAUGAAAAUAAAAGUUUCUAGG